UCGAGAAUCUUCCACAAUGGGCGAAAGCCUGAUGGAGCGACGCCGCGUGACUGAUGAAGUCCUUCGGGACGUAAAGGUCUUUUAUGAGAGAGAAAGACAUGCCCUUCGAGGUAUGUUUGAUGUUACCUCAUGAAUAAGGGGCUCCUAACUCUGUGCCAGCAGGAGCGGUAAUACAGAGGCCCCGAGCGUUAUCCGGAAUCACUGGGCGUAAAGGGUGCGUAGGCGGUUUUGCUAGUCUUUCGUUAAAACCCCCGGCUCAACCGGGGAAGGGCGAAGGAAACGGCAUUUCUAGAGGAUGUGAGAGGUGUGCGGAACUCAUAGUGUAGGGGUGAAAUCCGUUGAUAUUAUGGGGAACACCAAAUGCGAAGGCAGCACACUGGCACACUCCUGACGCUGAGGCACGAAAGCGUGGGUAGCGAACGGGAUUAGAUACCCCGGUAGUCC
This 444-nucleotide ribosomal RNA is filed under the name uncultured bacterium. RNAcentral describes it as "bacterial SSU rRNA". It matches the Rfam family "Bacterial small subunit ribosomal RNA", at positions 355 to 796 of the family's 1533-position model. The record is from RNAcentral.